UACUGAGUUACCGCUCUACAACCCUUUGUGAACAUACCUAACCGUUGCUUCGGCGGGCAGGGGAAGCCUCUCGCGGGCCUCCCCUCCCGGCGCCGGCCCCACCACGGGGACGGGGCGCCCGCCGGAGGAAACCAAACUCUAUUUACACGACGUCUCUUCUGAGUGGCACAAGCAAAUAAUUAAAACUUUUAACAACGGAUCUCUUGGUUCUGGCAUCGAUGAAGAACGCAGCGAAAUGCGAUAAGUAAUGUGAAUUGCAGAAUUCAGUGAAUCAUCGAAUCUUUGAACGCACAUUGCGCUCGCCAGCAUUCUGGCGAGCAUGCCUGUUCGAGCGUCAUUUCAACCCUCAAGCACCGCUUGGUUUUGGGGCCCCACGGCAGACGUGGGCCCUUAAAGGUAGUGGCGGACCCUCCCGGAGCCUCCUUUGCGUAGUAACUAACGUCUCGCACUGGGAUCCGGAGGGACUCUUGCCGUAAAACCCCCAAAUUCUUUACAGGUUGACCUCGGAUCAGGUAGGAAUACCCGCUGAACU
This 532-nucleotide ribosomal RNA is filed under the name Colletotrichum acutatum. Its description in RNAcentral is "eukaryotic LSU rRNA". The stretch from base 184 to 337 matches the Rfam family "5.8S ribosomal RNA". The record is from RNAcentral. Lineage: Eukaryota; Fungi; Ascomycota; Sordariomycetes; Glomerellales; Glomerellaceae.